RNAcentral lists this ribosomal RNA (247 nucleotides) under uncultured bacterium. RNAcentral's name for it is "partial 16S ribosomal RNA". It matches the Rfam family "Bacterial small subunit ribosomal RNA", at positions 530 to 776 of the family's 1533-position model. The record is from RNAcentral.
GGGGGCUAGCGUUGCUCGGAAUCACUGGGCGUAAAGCGCACGUAGGCGGCUUUUUAAGUCAGGGGUGAAAUCCUGGAGCUCAACUCCAGAACUGCCUUUGAUACUGGGAAUCUCGAGUCCGGAAGAGGUGAGUGGAACUGCGAGUGUAGAGGUGAAAUUCGUAGAUAUUCGCAAGAACACCAGUGGCGAAGGCGGCUCACUGGCCCGAUACUGACGCUGAGGCACGAAAGCGUGGGGAGCAAACAGG